Molecule: long non-coding RNA, 329 nt
Filed under: Lathyrus oleraceus (garden pea)
Lineage: Eukaryota; Viridiplantae; Streptophyta; Magnoliopsida; Fabales; Fabaceae
Description: Pisum sativum (pea) long non-coding RNA (PSAT_LNC019181)
Source: RNAcentral
AGACUAAAAACAUAAAAAGUAAAAAGAGAGAGAUAACAUACAAAUGCCGAGAUAUUCUCGAGUGUGCCUCUGUGUUCAUCGCCCAUAGUCAACAAAGACAUGAUUUGAUUUUGUAAAGCUUGAGUGUGGUAGAGGAAACAAGUGUGGUAGAAGAAUAUAAUUGAGUAUUGAUGAAGAUGAUUUGAUAUUGUUGAUAUGAGAGGCUAUUUAUAGAUGAAUGAGUGAGUAGGUUUGCAACCUAAUUGAGUAUUGAUGAAGAUGAUUUGAUAUUGUUGAUAUGAGAGGCUAUUUAUAGAUGAAUGAGUGAGUAGGUUUGCAACCUAAGAUGA